Molecule: unclassified non-coding RNA, 336 nt
Filed under: soil metagenome
Description: partial contains 5.8S ribosomal RNA, internal transcribed spacer 2, and large subunit ribosomal RNA
Rfam family: 5.8S ribosomal RNA (bases 1-120)
Source: RNAcentral
GAUGAAGAACGCAGCGAAAUGCGAUAAGUAAUGUGAAUUGCAGAAUUCAGUGAAUCAUCGGAUCUUUGAACGCACAUUGCGCCCGCCAGUAUUCUGGCGGGCAUGCCUGUUCGAGCGUCAUUUCAACCAUCAAGCCCCCGGCUUGUGUUGGGGACCUGCGGCUGCCGCAGGCCCUGAAAAGCAGUGGCGGGCUCGCUGUCACACCGAGCGUAGUAGCAUACAUCUCGCUCUGGGCGUGCUGCGGGUUCCGGCCGUUAAACCACCUUCAUAACCCAAGGUUGACCUCGGAUCAGGUAGGAAGACCCGCUGAACUUAAGCAUAUCAAUAAGCGGAGGA